AUUGAACGCUGGCGGCAGGCCUAACACAUGCAAGUCGAACGGUAACAGGAAGAAGCUUGCUUCUUUGCUGACGAGUGGCGGACGGGUGAGUAAUGUCUGGGAAACUGCCUGAUGGAGGGGGAUAACUACUGGAAACGGUAGCUAAUACCGCAUAACGCCGCAAAACCAAAGAGGGGGACCUUCGGGCCUCUUGCCAUCGGAUGUGCCCAGAUGGGAUUAGCUAGUAGGUAGGGUAACGGCUCACCUAGGCGACGAUCCCUAGCUGGUCUGAGAGGAUGACCAGCCACACUGGAACUGAGACACGGUCCAGACUCCUACGGGAGGCAGCAGUGGGGAAUAUUGCACAAUGGGCGCAAGCCUGAUGCAGCCAUGCCGCGUGUAUGAAGAAGGCCUUCGGGUUGUAAAGUACUUUCAGCGGGGAGGAAGGGAGUAAAGUUAAUACCUUUGCUCAUUGACGUUACCCGCAGAAGAAGCACCGGCUAACUCCGUG
This 490-nucleotide ribosomal RNA is filed under the name uncultured bacterium. RNAcentral describes it as "partial 16S ribosomal RNA". It matches the Rfam family "Bacterial small subunit ribosomal RNA", at positions 30 to 507 of the family's 1533-position model. The record is from RNAcentral.